AUGCACGCUGGCGGCGUGCCUAAUCCAUGCAAGUCGAGCGAACGGACGAGAAGCUUGCUUCUCUGAUGUUAGCGGCGGACGGGUGAGUAACACGUGGAUAACCUACCUAUAAGACUGGGAUAACUUCGGGAAACCGGAGCUAAUACCGGAUAAUAUUUUGAACCGCAUGGUUCAAAAGUGAAAGACGGUCUUGCUGUCACUUAUAGAUGGAUCCGCGCUGCAUUAGCUAGUCGGUAAGGUAACGGCUUACCAAGGCAACGAUGCAUAGCCGACCUGAGAGGGUGAUCGGCCACACUGGAACUGAGACACGGUCCAGACUCCUACGGGAGGCAGCAGUAGGGAAUCUUCCGCAAUGGGCGAAAGCCUGACGGAGCAACGCCGCGUGAGUGAUGAAGGUCUUCGGAUCGUAAAACUCUGUUAUUAGGGAAGAACAUAUGUGUAAGUAACUGUGCACAUCUUGACGGUACCUAAUCAGAAAGCCACGGCUAACUACGUG
Molecule: ribosomal RNA, 496 nt
Filed under: uncultured bacterium
Lineage: Bacteria
Description: partial 16S ribosomal RNA
Rfam family: Bacterial small subunit ribosomal RNA
Source: RNAcentral